RNAcentral lists this ribosomal RNA (672 nucleotides) under Enterobacter bugandensis. Its description in RNAcentral is "partial 23S ribosomal RNA". It matches the Rfam family "Bacterial large subunit ribosomal RNA", at positions 2259 to 2925 of the family's 2925-position model. The record is from RNAcentral. Lineage: Bacteria; Pseudomonadati; Pseudomonadota; Gammaproteobacteria; Enterobacterales; Enterobacteriaceae.
UGGUGGGUAGUUUGACUGGGGCGGUCUCCUCCCAAAGAGUAACGGAGGAGCACGAAGGUUAGCUAAUCCUGGUCGGACAUCAGGAGGUUAGUGCAAUGGCAUAAGCUAGCUUGACUGCGAGAGUGACGGCUCGAGCAGGUGCGAAAGCAGGUCAUAGUGAUCCGGUGGUUCUGAAUGGAAGGGCCAUCGCUCAACGGAUAAAAGGUACUCCGGGGAUAACAGGCUGAUACCGCCCAAGAGUUCAUAUCGACGGCGGUGUUUGGCACCUCGAUGUCGGCUCAUCACAUCCUGGGGCUGAAGUAGGUCCCAAGGGUAUGGCUGUUCGCCAUUUAAAGUGGUACGCGAGCUGGGUUUAGAACGUCGUGAGACAGUUCGGUCCCUAUCUGCCGUGGGCGCUGGAGAAUUGAGGGGGGCUGCUCCUAGUACGAGAGGACCGGAGUGGACGCAUCACUGGUGUUCGGGUUGUCAUGCCAAUGGCACUGCCCGGUAGCUAAAUGCGGAAGAGAUAAGUGCUGAAAGCAUCUAAGCACGAAACUUGCCCCGAGAUGAGUUCUCCCUGAGACUUUAAGUCUCCUGAAGGAACGUUGAAGACGACGACGUUGAUAGGCCGGGUGUGUAAGCGCAGCGAUGCGUUGAGCUAACCGGUACUAAUGAACCGUGAGGCUUAACCUU